Acyrthosiphon pisum (pea aphid) is the source of this 1131-nucleotide long non-coding RNA. RefSeq lists it as uncharacterized. NCBI's taxonomy places the organism in Eukaryota, Metazoa, Arthropoda, Insecta, Hemiptera, Aphididae. The transcript has 2 exons. The record is from RefSeq and is a predicted model, not a curated record.
UAUAACAUUGUGUAAUAACGCAGUUAAAACCCCAGAAUCGCGUAAAGUUUUCAAAGUUCUACUUUAAUAAGACGCAGGCAAUUAAUGCUGAUAUAACGGCCAUAAAUAUAAACAAAUCAAAACUAUUUAAUUCUAAACAACGAUAAACAAAAAGGUUAAAUAACGUUUUGAUUGUUUUACAGCUUAGUAAAAUAGUGCAAUCACUGUUUAUCCGUACAACAUUUUUAUUUCAUCAUUAUAUGAUAUUUUCUAUAUUCGUUUCCUCAAUUGCUUGAAAAAGUAGAAAAUAUUUUUAAAAUUUUUUGCCUGUCAAUGUGCGGUAACAUAUAGCUAGAUAUUGUAUUAACUUAUGUUUUAUAGUAUUUGGGGUUUAAUGUAUUUUCAGAUAAUUUUAAGAUACUGAUUAUGAAAUUUACUGAGGUACACUAAAACCGAUAAACACUGAUAUAAUAUCCCACCUGUUUUUUAAUUUUUUCCUAAGCAUUGGUGGGUUUUACAACUAGAGUAUUUGCACUGUUUAUCCGUAUAAAAUAUUUAUUUUAUCAUUACAUGAUAUUUUCUGUCUUCGUUUACUCAAGUGCUUAUGAAUACACGCCACGUCAUCGUGUUUUUUCACUGAACAACCUUACAAAUACCAAAGUAAGAAAAUAUUUUAUAUUGUUCUUAUAUUCAACACUUUGAAAAUUAUUCAUUCAUUGUAACAAGAAACAUGGUGAAAAAUAAUGAUAUGCCAGCUAUAUUUUUUAUUUUAAAUUAUAUUGGUCGUGUAGCAACGAUGAUCGCUUCCGGUGAGACUUAUGUUGAUAUAAAUUAUUGUACACGUAAGUAUUAAUAAUAUAUUUUACUUUACGACAAAUCUAUACAUUGAAUACCUACCGCUUUAUUCAUAAUUUGAUCACUUUUCUACUGUAUUAUUAUUAUAAAAGUAAUUUUGAUAUGUGUUAUUACCUAAUUGGUAGUUUAAUAAUUUGGAAUUGGUUUAUUAAUUAUUAGCUAUCAUAUUGGGUAAUAAAUACAUAACGUGAACGAUGAAAGAUGAUAUAGAUGCCGAUAUUUAUGGUGAUCGUAUAUUUCGGUUAAAAAUUAAAACCAAAGAACCUACUUAUUUAAAAAAAAUAUUUAAUGAUUCCC